CUCUUACAUAGAGAUUUAAAAAUAUACACUUAAGAUGGAGUACAUGCUAAUAACUGUCCUAUAAUUUGAACACUACAUUAGAUAAUAUUAAGGAUGGUUUGCAUGUUUGGAACUCCUAUUCCUGAUUAACAAUACUUGCAGUACGUUUCACCCCCUCCAUUGGUGCUGUGUAAUUGUCCAUGUGAUGGUUUUCUGGGAAUAGGUUUAGUUCUGAGGCUGUAUCUGUGGCUAUUGAGUUGGCUUGUCUGCUGAGCAUCACAUUUAUUGCUCUGGACUUCGCUAUUACCAUUUCUCACACAUGGUUAUAAUCUGAUCUCCAAAGUCUCUCCUGUUUCUAAAAAUGUUGGUUUUAAUGCUGUAUUUUUUAAUAUGUCAGUAUAAAACUACUACUGGGAUUCCAAACAUGGUUAUAGCGAUGAUAACCUCAGUUGGUAAACUGCUGUGCUGACAUAAGGACCUGAGUUGAUUACUAGGACUCAUG
RNAcentral lists this long non-coding RNA (481 nucleotides) under Mus caroli (Ryukyu mouse). RNAcentral's name for it is "lncRNA (MGP_CAROLIEiJ_G0006854.1)". Lineage: Eukaryota; Metazoa; Chordata; Mammalia; Rodentia; Muridae. The record is from RNAcentral.